Ictidomys tridecemlineatus (thirteen-lined ground squirrel) is the source of this 72-nucleotide non-coding RNA. The record is from Rfam. NCBI's taxonomy places the organism in Eukaryota, Metazoa, Chordata, Mammalia, Rodentia, Sciuridae.
GGGGUUGUAGCUCAUUGGUAGAGCACUUGCCUAACACGUGCAAGACCCUGGGUUCGACCCUCAGCAAUAUUU